RNAcentral lists this long non-coding RNA (370 nucleotides) under Homo sapiens (human). RNAcentral describes it as "HSALNT0180240". The record is from RNAcentral. Lineage: Eukaryota; Metazoa; Chordata; Mammalia; Primates; Hominidae.
AAAUGGCAAGAUCAUCUACACCUAUAAGCAAGAUAUCUACAGCAAAAAAGAAAUUCAUCUGUUUAAAAAAGCAACUGAAUAUUUGCUGCACAUCAACCGCAGAUAUGAUGAUUAAAGAUCAAAUCCCAUGUAGCAAUUGUACAUGACCUUUGUUUUCAACUUUUCUUUCUGCUUUGCCUAUAACAUUUGAAAUGCCACUCAUACCCAAACUCUUCCUAAUUAUUUCUGUCUUCCAAUGUUUCCUUUAUUUCAUGAAAUGAAUAGUAACUUGAUUCCAGUAUUAGCUGGAAAUCUAGGGAUCAUGGACCCCAUAUCAGGCUGAGUAUUUUUGUGUUUGUUUCCACAACCACUGUAUAAUAGCUCUUUUGCA